This 832-nucleotide ribosomal RNA is filed under the name uncultured bacterium. Its description in RNAcentral is "bacterial SSU rRNA". It matches the Rfam family "Bacterial small subunit ribosomal RNA", at positions 8 to 832 of the family's 1533-position model. The record is from RNAcentral.
AGAGUUUGAUCCUGGCUCAGAUUGAACGCUGGCGGCAGGCCUAACACAUGCAAGUCGAGCGGAAACGAUCCUAGCUUGCUAGGAGGCGUCGAGCGGCGGACGGGUGAGUAACACGUGAGAAUCUGCCCAUUAGUGGGGGAUAACCUGGGGAAACCCAGGCUAAUACCGCAUAAUCCCUACGGGGGAAAGCAGGGGACCUUCGGGCCUUGUGCUGAUGGAUGAGCUCGCGUCGGAUUAGCUUGUUGGUGAGGUAAUGGCUCACCAAGGCGACGAUCCGUAGCUGGUCUUAGAGGAUGAUCAGCCACACCGGGACUGAGACACGGCCCGGACUCCUACGGGAGGCAGCAGUGGGGAAUCUUGGACAAUGGGGGCAACCCUGAUCCAGCCAUGCCGCGUGUGUGAAGAAGGCCUUCGGGUUGUAAAGCACUUUCAGUAGGGAGGAAGGCUUAUCCUUAAUACGGAUGAGUACUUGACGUUACCUACAGAAGAAGCACCGGCUAAUUUCGUGCCAGCAGCCGCGGUAAUACGAAAGGUGCGAGCGUUAAUCGGAAUUACUGGGCGUAAAGCGCGCGUAGGCGGUUUGCUAAGUCAGAUGUGAAAGCCCCGGGCUCAACCUGGGAACUGCAUUUGAAACUGGCAGGCUAGAAUGCAGUAGAGGGAGGUGGAAUUUCCGGUGUAGCGGUGAAAUGCGUAGAGAUCGGAAGGAACACCAGUGGCGAAAGCGGCCUCCUGGACUGACAUUGACGCUGAGUGCGAAAGCGUGGGGAGCAAACAGGAUUAGAUACCCUGGUAGUCCACGCCGUAAACGAUGUCUACUAGUCGUUGGGAAUCU